This 89-nucleotide signal recognition particle RNA is filed under the name Erysipelothrix sp. RNAcentral describes it as "signal recognition particle sRNA small type". It matches the Rfam family "Bacterial small signal recognition particle RNA". Rfam says of the family: The signal recognition particle (SRP) is a universally conserved ribonucleoprotein involved in the co-translational targeting of proteins to membranes. Archaeal SRP consists of a 7S RNA and homologues of the eukaryotic SRP19 and SRP54 proteins. The record is from RNAcentral. Lineage: Bacteria; Bacillati; Bacillota; Erysipelotrichia; Erysipelotrichales; Erysipelotrichaceae.
CAUGCCACUACAACAUUAUCUUAAUAACCAGGUCAGGGUAGGAAUACAGCAGCCUUACUUAAGCUCUAUUGUGUGUAGUGGUCUUUUUU